UACGUAGGGGGCAAGCGUUGUCCGGAUUUAUUGGGCGUAAAGAGCGUGUAGGCGGCCAGGUAGGUCAGCUGUGAAAACUCGAGGCUCAACCUCGAGACGUCGGUUGAAACCAUCUGGCUAGAGUCCGGAAGAGGAGAGUGGAAUUCCUGGUGUAGCGGUGAAAUGCGCAGAUAUCAGGAAGAACACCCGUGGCGAAGGCGGCUCUCUGGGACGGUACUGACGCUGAGACGCGAAAAGCGUGGGGAGCGAACAGG
This 254-nucleotide ribosomal RNA is filed under the name uncultured bacterium. RNAcentral describes it as "partial 16S ribosomal RNA". It matches the Rfam family "Bacterial small subunit ribosomal RNA", at positions 524 to 776 of the family's 1533-position model. The record is from RNAcentral.